UACAGAGGGUGCAAGCGUUAAUCGGAAUUACUGGGCGUAAAGCGCAUGUAGGUGGUUUAUUUAGUCUAAUGUGAAAUCUUCGGGCUUAACCUGGGGGCUGCAUUAGAUACGGAUAGACUAGAGGUGGACGAAGGAUGGUGGAAUUUCCGGUGUAGCGGUGAAAUGCGUAGAUAUCGGAAGGAAUGCCAGUGGCGAAAGCGACUGUCUAGGUCCAAUCUGACACUGAGAUGCGAAAGCGUGGGGAGCAAACAGG
This 253-nucleotide ribosomal RNA is filed under the name uncultured bacterium. Its description in RNAcentral is "partial 16S ribosomal RNA". It matches the Rfam family "Bacterial small subunit ribosomal RNA", at positions 524 to 776 of the family's 1533-position model. The record is from RNAcentral.